RNAcentral lists this ribosomal RNA (292 nucleotides) under uncultured bacterium. Its description in RNAcentral is "partial 16S ribosomal RNA". It matches the Rfam family "Bacterial small subunit ribosomal RNA", at positions 505 to 796 of the family's 1533-position model. The record is from RNAcentral.
GUGCCAGCCGCCGCGGUAAUACGAAGGGGGCUAGCGUUGCUCGGAAUCACUGGGCGUAAAGGGCGCGUAGGCGGCCAUUCAAGUCGGAGGUGAAAGCCCAGGGCUCAACCCUGGAAUUGCCUUCGAUACUGUUUGGCUAGAGACCGGAAGAGGUAAGUGGAACUGCGAGUGUAGAGGUGAAAUUCGUAGAUAUUCGCAAGAACACCAGUGGCGAAGGCGGCUUACUGGUCCGGUUCUGACGCUGAGGCGCGAAAGCGUGGGGAGCAAACAGGAUUAGAAACCCCCGUAGUCC